ACAUUGCUAUUCUGAGAGGAAUAAAGCUGAAAUUGCUCACCUGAAGGAGGCAAGAAUCCCAUUGAUUUCAGCUGCUAGAGGGUGCUGUCCUGAAGGGAACCACCCCAUAGUAGGCCUUUCUCUCAUCUGAUACUGCCUAUGACAAGCAGUUGCACUCAAAGUGGGAAGUUCAAGUCUUGUGAUACCAUCCCCUUCCUCACCAGCCAGCAGAGAGAUAUGUAAACUGCAGAGGAGAAAUGUGCCUCCCCGGAGCUGCAGCCAAACUCACCGUGUCUCUGGGGACCAUCAAAGGUGCAGGUAUGCUCUCACAGUGGAACAAACUGAGUGUGAACCCGCCUUUUGCCCACAUGGUGAAGGUGGUGGUGCACACCUCUUCUCGUGCUGCCUGGAGUGGACAGCGGAGGAAGAGCCAAGACUCCAGGUGAUCUGGACGUAAAUCAAAAAAUGUUGUUCAGGAUCCAAGCUGAAUAGUUCGGGUUUUAAUACAAUAUUUCAGUGUGAAACCAAAACAAAUGUUAAACCUUGGAAGCUGUAUAAAAUUGAAUUGUCAUUAUCUAGUCAGUUUUUGUUUUAAGCACCUUGAAUUGUAGUGAAGACAAUAAGAAAUGAAAAUGCUCAACUAUUUCAGGAUUCAGCCUAUAGCAGUGUAGGACACACUCAGCACAGGCUGUUGAUUGUAGCCAUCCUUCACGGCAGUCAUUCAUUAUAUAAUUUCAAAGGUAACUUAAACAUGUGCCAGAAACUUUGGAGAGACUAGUCCUUGGUGAAAUGGGCUCUGGACCAAAUCUUUACUUUAAUGAUAAUGCUUUAGAAUAAAAUAUUUUUUGGUUCAGAACA
RNAcentral lists this long non-coding RNA (837 nucleotides) under Anser brachyrhynchus (Pink-footed goose). RNAcentral's name for it is "lncRNA (ENSABRG00000008203.1)". The record is from RNAcentral. Lineage: Eukaryota; Metazoa; Chordata; Aves; Anseriformes; Anatidae.